Molecule: ribosomal RNA, 514 nt
Filed under: uncultured bacterium
Lineage: Bacteria
Description: bacterial LSU rRNA
Rfam family: Bacterial large subunit ribosomal RNA
Source: RNAcentral
GCGAAACCAUGUGAUCUACCCAUGGGCAGGCUGAAGGGACGAUAAUCUCGUCCUGGAGGGCCGAACUAGUUGACGUUGAAAAGUCUUUGGAUGACCUGUGGGUAGGGGUGAAAGGCUAAUCAAACAUGGAGAUAGCUCGUACUCCCCGAAAUGCAUUUAGGUGCAGCGUUGGAGUCUAGAGUGUCACGGAGGUAGAGCUACCGAUAGGGCUAGGGGGUUUCACCACCUACCAACCCUUGACGAACUCCGAAUGCCGUGACAUUUAUCCAGCAGUGAGGCGGUGGGUGCUAAGGUCCAUCGCCGAGAGGGAAACAACCCAGACCAUCAGCUAAGGUCCCUAAAUAUACGCUAAGUUGAAUUGAACGAAGUGGAGAUGCUAUGACAGCUAGGAUGUUGGCUUGGAAGCAGCCAUUCAUUUAAAGAGUGCGUAACAGCUCACUAGUCGAGCGUUUCUGCGCGGAAAAUAAUCGGGCAUCAAGUGUAUUACCGAAGCUAUGGAUUGUAGACGUAAGUC